This 217-nucleotide transfer RNA is filed under the name Marmota monax (woodchuck). Its description in RNAcentral is "tRNA.SeC". Lineage: Eukaryota; Metazoa; Chordata; Mammalia; Rodentia; Sciuridae. The record is from RNAcentral.
UGUGGAUGUGGCUCAGUGGUUGAGAGCCCCUGAGUUCAAUCCCCAGUGCCCCCCAAAACAUAAACAAAUAAAAGUCUACCAAUAACUAAAUUUUUUUUAAUUUUAACAUUUAAAAAAAUUUUUAAAUUAAAACAAAAAGUUUUGUUUUUGUACAUACCUCGGCUGGGAGGCGGAUCAGUGGACAGCGCGUGCCUAGGUUCAAUUCCCAGCACCACAA